AUCUUUUCUGAAACACAAACUAUCACUCACCCCCCAAAUCCAUCCAACUUUUCUUUUAUUUCCUUCUAUGUCCUUCCUCUAUUGUUGAACCAUCCAAGCUCCAAAUCUUCAUUUUUCUUUGAAAUUUCUUUAGUAAAAACUAAAAAGAAGACUAGUGAGCAACUUUAUUUCAUGAGGAAAUUUCCAUAGAUGGGUUAAAAGAAAGAAAUACAUGAGUUAGGGUUUUGGGCUUUUAAAAAGUUAAGGUAAGAAUGAUGGAAAUUCUUUUAGCAUACAUGUUUAUUUUCAUAAUAUAGCAUAGAAAAGUUAUUUGAUUUUUAGUUUUAACUUAUAAAUGUUAUAUGUUGUUAUGAAACUGAAGAAAAAGAGAAGAUGUUUGAGGACAAAAGUGAAGGGGAAGGAAAAGAAGUGGCCAAUGAGUAGAAGAGAAGAAAAACUCAUCAUCCAAAUUUUGGUUGUAAAUACUUCAAGUAGUAAUUUUGUUUAAGUUAUGUUAAUUAAAUAAUUAUGUUAAUUAAGUAGUUUAAUUACUAAAUUAAUGAUAUCAUAAUAAGUAUUUAGUAGGGGUAAGUAAUGUGAAUGUUAUAAAUUUUGACUUUAGGGUACCAUUAUAUGAUAUAUUGAGGUGAUAAUGAAAAAGGACUAAAUUGAAAUAAAUUAAAAUAUGUUAUGAUAUUAUGAAUAUAUGGAAAGUGAGUUUAAAUGAAGUGAUGUAAAAAUUAUAGUGUUGUAUGUGGUACAAAUGAAGAGAAUUUACAAGUUUUAGUGUUAUUAUUGUGAUAAGGACUAAAUUGUGAAAAAUAUAAAGUUAUAUUAUUUUAUGUCAAGUGAAUGAAUAAAAAAACUAAUAAUAAGAAAAUCCCAUGUAGACGAGUCCGGAACUAUUGGGAUACUGAUGGCAUGUCAUUAAGGAAAAAUUAG
This 921-nucleotide long non-coding RNA is filed under the name Gossypium raimondii (Peruvian cotton). Its description in RNAcentral is "long non-coding RNA (GRAI_LNC004372)". Lineage: Eukaryota; Viridiplantae; Streptophyta; Magnoliopsida; Malvales; Malvaceae. The record is from RNAcentral.